RNAcentral lists this ribosomal RNA (1790 nucleotides) under marine metagenome. RNAcentral describes it as "bacterial LSU rRNA". It matches the Rfam family "Bacterial large subunit ribosomal RNA", at positions 1 to 1977 of the family's 2925-position model. The record is from RNAcentral.
UCAAGCGUCUCUAAGGGCAUUUGGUGGAUGCCUUGGCGUUGAGAGGCGAUGAAGGACGUGACACGCUGCGAUAAGCCAUGGGGAGCUGCGAGUAAGCUUUGAUCCGUGGAUUUCCGAAUGGGGAAACCCGGCCAUUUAGGUCAUCCCGCAAGGGAAGCAAACCUGGGGAACUGAAACAUCUAAGUACCCAGAGGAAAGGACAUCAACCGAGACUCCGUUAGUAGUGACGAGCGAACGCGGACCAGGCCAGUGGCUUGAUAGAAGACAACCAGAAGCGUCUGGAAAGGCGCGCCAUAGUGGGUGAUAGCCCCGUAUGGGUAAUGCUUUCUUCAAGUCCUUGAGUAGGGCGGGACACGUGAAAUCCUGUCUGAACAUGGGGGGACCACCCUCCAAGCCUAAGUACUCCUCAACGACCGAUAGUGAACCAGUACCGUGAGGGAAAGGUGAAAAGCACCCCGAUGAGGGGAGUGAAAUAGACCUGAAACCGAAUGCCUACAAUCAGUCGGAGCCACAUUAAGUGGUGACGGCGUACCUUUUGUAUAAUGGGUCAGCGAGUUACUUUGACGAGCAAGCCUAAGCCGUUAGGCGUAAGCGAAGCGAAAGCGAGUCUGAAUAGGGCGUUUAGUUCGUUUGAGUAGACCCGAAACCGGGUGAUCUAGCCAUGGGCAGGUUGAAGGUACGGUAACACGUACUGGAGGACCGAACCCACGCAUGUUGAAAAAUGCGGGGAUGACCUGUGGCUAGGGGUGAAAGGCCAAUCAAACCCGGAGAUAGCUGGUUCUCUGCGAAAACUAUUUAGGUAGUGCGUUAUGUGAUUACUGCCGGGGGUAGAGCACUGGAUGGGCUAGGGGGGCGCGAGCCUUACCAAACCUAACCAAACUCCGAAUACCGGUAAGUACAGCAUGGCAGACAGACUAUGGGUGCUAAGGUCCAUAGUCGAGAGGGAAACAGCCCAGACCACCAGCUAAGGUCCCCAAGUUAUGGCUAAGUGGGAAAGGAUGUGGGAAGGCCAAGACAGCCAGGAGGUUGGCUUAGAAGCAGCCAUCCUUUAAAGAAAGCGUAACAGCUCACUGGUCUAGACAAGCCGGCCUGCGCCGAAGAUGUAACGGGGCUAAAGCCACAUACCGAAGCUGAGGACGUGAUUUAUCACGUGGUAGCAGAGCGUUCUGUAGGCCUGCGAAGCGUAAUCGUGAGAUUGCGUGGAGGUAUCAGAAGUGAGAAUGCUGACAUGAGUAGCGAUAAAGAGUGUGAGAAACACUCUCGCCGUAAGCCCAAGGGUUCCUGCGCAAGGCUAAUCCGCGCAGGGUGAGUCGGCCCCUAAGACGAGGGCGAAAGCCGUAGUCGAUGGGAAUCAGGUUAAUAUUCCUGAACCUGUUGGUAGUGACGGAUGACGUAAGUUGUACAUGCUUAACGGAUUGUGUGUGCAGUGAAGUUGUCCCAGGAAAUAGCUCCAACAUUAAGACCGUACCCCAAACCGACACAGGUGGGCAGGUAGAGCAUACCGAGGCGCUUGAGAGAACGAUGUUGAAGGAACUCGGCAAAUUGCCCCCGUAACUUCGGGAGAAGGGGGACCUCCAUUUAGGCAACUAGAUGGAGGUGGCACAGACCAGGGGGUGGCGACUGUUUAUUAAAAACACAGGGCUCUGCGAAGUAGAUAAUACGACGUAUAGGGUCUGACGCCUGCCCGGUGCCGGAAGGUUAAGAGGAGGUGUGAGAGCUCCGAAUUGAAGCCCCGGUAAACGGCGGCCGUAACUAUAACGGUCCUAAGGUAGCGAAAUUCCUUGUCGGGU